Molecule: small nucleolar RNA, 128 nt
Organism: Onychomys torridus (southern grasshopper mouse)
Lineage: Eukaryota; Metazoa; Chordata; Mammalia; Rodentia; Cricetidae
Product: small nucleolar RNA SNORA40
Exons: 1
Source: RefSeq, a predicted model, not a curated record
UGCAUAACACUAUAGUUUUGUUCAACAGGUGCACAAAGGCAUGGAAGAAGGAUGCAAACAUAAAUCCUCAUUUGCCAUCCAGAAUUCAUUGUUGAGUUUGAGUUUUUAUACACAAAUGAAGGAAUAUG